GUGCCCGCUUGGGCAGCACGUGUACUAAAAGUGGGAUGAUACAGAGAAGAUCAGCGUGGCCCCUGCGCAAGGAUGACUCGCAAAUUUGUGAAGUGUUACAUUUUAAU
Small nuclear RNA from Sarcophilus harrisii (Tasmanian devil), 107 nucleotides. NCBI's taxonomy places the organism in Eukaryota, Metazoa, Chordata, Mammalia, Dasyuromorphia, Dasyuridae. The record is from Ensembl.